Dreissena polymorpha is the source of this 10286-nucleotide RNA transcript. It is a transcript of the gene named zinc transporter 5-like, with no coding region annotated. The record is from RefSeq and is a predicted model, not a curated record. NCBI's taxonomy places the organism in Eukaryota, Metazoa, Mollusca, Bivalvia, Myida, Dreissenidae. The transcript is spliced from 16 exons.
CCUUCCGUCUACUUCCGUAUGUCAGCUUCCACUACCGUAUAAACAAUACGUUUUGUUCUAAUAUUACGAAAUAGAAUAUACAAAAUGAACUUUUUCGAAAUCAAUUAUGAUAUAAACAUGAUAAAACAACACUUUUGCAAGCAUGGAUGAAGUUAACUGACGACAUUUUGUCUCUAAAUUGACACUUACCGACGUCUAGUGACUAAGUCUAAGAAAGGAACUUCACGAAGAUCGGAAGAUCUCAUGCGUUGUAAUGGCUGAUUAUGGGGAAAACGUUUUACCAAAACAUGCUAUAUACAAGGGUCCUUCUUCAGCAGCUGCUGUUUACAUAGGACUGUUGGUGGUAUCGAAGUUGUUUAGAGCAGUAGGGCUUUUCCUAGCCUAUGAUGUACUGAAACUUGUGCCAGUUGUACUGUUUAUGUUUGUGGUCAAAGCUGGUGCUUCUGUACCACUGGUGUUGCUUCAAAAACCUUUCACAUCUGGGAAAAAACUAUCAAAGAAUCAGUGGUUCCGAGUGAGUCGCCAUGCCUUUGUUGGCUGUCUGCUGGGUGUGCUGUGGAUGUUUGGCCUGUCCCUGUGCGGUCCCCUGCGCACCAUUCUUCUGUACGAGCACAGCGAUGUCAUAGUCAUAGCCUGGGCAGGUGCUCUUUUCUCAGGCAAUUCUGGAAGUCCAGCAAAGAUGCGUGGUGCGGUUGUAUUCCUCAUUGCCGUGGUAACCCUGCUGCUGUUUGACCAUGAUGAGAAGCUGGAGCAGCGCUCUGAACAGGACUCUGACCACCUUCAUCGCAAUGUCUUAACACAUAUCUUCUACCAUAUUAUAAACCUUGUUGGAUGGUCUGAUCAUAAGGGUGGAGUGGUUUUACUGUUCCUCACACUGUGCCUCCAGGUGGGCUAUAACUCCGCCUCCAAGAAGCUCUCAGUGGAUGUGGGAGGGGCCAAGCGGCUCCACGCCCUCUCCACUCUCAUCCAGGCCAUGAUCCUGGGACCAUGGGCCAUCAUCUUCUCAUCUGGCUCAGAGAUACAGGUGUCUUGGCUGUACCUGUUGUUCCCCCUUGCCCUGUUCACCCUGUUUGUCCUUAUCAUUGACUACUACAUCGAGGCUGUUGCCGCCAACCACAUCCAACCUACUAAGACUGCCGAGCUGGGGGCGUACGCCAUGUUUGGCAGUGCCCUUUUCCUGGCCCUCACUUGGAAUCACCCUUACACUGCACGUAUAACCACCAUGCACAAACUACAAGGGAUUAUUACGGAGGACCAUGUGUUGUCAUGGGGAGUCAUAUUCAGUUUGGCUUCUUUCAUGCUUGCCACCAAAAUACUGACCAACCCCGGUGGUAAGACAAACAGGGCUAGUUUUAUUGGCUUCUCGAUGGAAGGUCAGCCAGUGUACAGCUUUACAGAGGAGGCUCUUAAGAGGACCUCCCAGUCCAUACUAAUACACCUGAAGAACGCCCUGCGUCAAGUCCUUGAAGAUUCUGACUCCAGGAAGAUUUUCUACUUCUUGUGCAUCAACUUGGCGUUCACAUUUGUUGAGAUGAUCUACGGUGUGUUGACAAACAGUCUUGGCCUGAUAUCUGACGGUUUCCACAUGUUGUUUGACUGCUCAGCGCUCGUGAUGGGCCUUUAUGCCUCCGUGAUGUCACGGUGGAAAGCUACGAGAGUUUUCUCUUACGGGUUUGACCGAGUGGAGGUGCUGUCAGGGUUUAUAAAUGGCCUGUUUCUGAUGGUGAUAGCCAUCUUUGUGUUCUCAGAGUCGCUCCACAGACUGACAGAGCCUCCAGAAAUCGACACAAACAGAUUGCUGGCAGUGUCUGUUGGUGGACUGUUGGUGAAUAUGGUGGGCAUAUUUGCAUUUAAAGGCAGCCAUGGGCACAGCCAUGGUGGAGGACAUAGUCACAGUGGAGGGGGGCACAGCCAUAGUGGACAUGGACACAAUACCAACAUGGAAGGUGUGUUCCUCCACGUGCUGGCAGACACACUCAGUAGUGUUGGGGUCAUCAUUUCAUCUCUGCUCAUUGAACACUUUGGCUGGAACAUUGCAGACCCCAUCUGCUCUUUGUUCAUAGCAACUAUGAUAUUCCUGAGCAUUAUUCCCCUUCUGAAAGAGACGUCUGCAAUAUUGCUUCUUAGAACACCCGGUGAUAUAGAAUCUUGUGUGAAUAGUGCUAUUCAGAAGAUACUGAAUCUCGAAGGGGUGACGUCCUACAGGGACCACCAUGUCUGGUAUCAUACCUCCAGCAAGGUGUUGGCUACUCUACAUCUCCACGUAGCUCAUGAUGCAUCCGAACAAAAAAUUAUCUCGCAGGUUGGGAGUAUUAUGAAGGAUGCAGGCAUCCACUCAGUGACAGUUCAAGUGGAAAAAGAAGAAUACUUGCAGCAUUUAUCUGGACUGGGAUCUACCUUUGACCCAAAUGUCUUUCAGCAUUCACAUUUCGAGUUACCUCAUGUGAUCAAAGCAGUGUGAUGUACUUUCGCUAAGUAGAAGCUGGCAUGCAUGUGCCAUCAUUUUAUAUCGUAUUCCAAAGACAUUUUUGGUGUUGAACAGGUUUUUAUUAACCAGGUUUUUCCGAAGGAAAAAACUGGUUAUAAGAUUGGCGAAUGCGGGCGGGCUGGCUGGCUGGCGGGCUGGUUGGCGGGUGGGCGGAACAAGCUUGUCCGGGCCAUAACUAUGUCGUUUUUGAAAUCAUUGGGCACAUUUGUUCACCAUCAUUGGACGGUGUGUCGCGCGAAAUAAUUACGUCGAUAUCUCCAAGGUCAAGGUCACACUUUGAGUUCAAAGGUCAAAAAUGGCCAUAAAUGAGCUUGUCCUGGCCAUAACUAUGUCAUUCAUUGUGAGAUUUUAAAAUCAUUUGGCACAUUUGUUCACCAUCAUGGGACGGUGUGUCGCACGAAAGAAUCACGUCAAUAUCUCCAAUGUCAAGGUCGCCACGACUAAAAAUAGAUUUUUUUAAAAAACAAACUUACAAAGGGGGUUAAUUUUGUUUGUUCAUUUCAAAAGUUCAGUUUGAGUUUUCUCCCUUUAUCAGAUUUUUUUUCACAAUGAAAACCUGGUUUGUGACAAUUUCGUCCCUUUUUAAUCAUGUAGCAAAUCUGUAACUGAAUGAAAAAUAUGCUGUCAGUAGUUCAUUUAAGUCCCUAAAUGACAAGAACUUUUCAUCUGUCAGUCAUAGCUAAGGUUUAAUUUCGAAAGUAUCAUUUAACAGCUCUUAGGUCUACCAGUUUGUGUUCUCAUCUGACCAAUUAAAUUGGGAUAAUUCAAGACUUUAGUGGGAUUAUUUUCAUAAAAACUACAGAUAAAACAUUGCUAACUUGCUUUAUCUGUAUUAUAUGAUAUAUUGUGCAAACAAGCUGUGUACAAAAGAAGUAACAAAAUACCACUAGAAGGUGGCUUGCUUUAAUUUAGGUUAGCAAAAUUGAGUUGAAGGAAUGUGUGACUGGCCAUUUUGUUUUUACGAAAACAUAUAAUGCUUGUAUAUAGAUUACCAUAUAAUACACAUGAAAACGCUAAAUUCCAACUAUUCUUUCUCAAAGACCUUGUAUACAAUUUUAAGUUUGUUUGUUUUUGUAAAAAAUAUCAUGAUAAACAAUAUAUUGUAUUGAGUAUGUAAAAGUAUUGUGCACAAGAAAAUAUUACAAAAAGAUCCUGCCAUAUGAUGUGGUUGUUGCAAUGUACUAUUUGUAUGUACAUGUAUAAUUUAUUUAUCAUGAAACUUACUUGUUUACAAAGCUUAUAAUACAUAUCUAUGAUAUCAGUAUAUAUAAGUGUUUUUCUGCUCAUUUUAAGCACAACUAUUCAACAAAUAAUUCAAGUUCAAGUACUCAACCAAAUGUCUAAUCGGUGCCUAUGUAAUGCUUUGGUUAUGUUAAAGGUGCAAAAUAUCCAUAUCACUGUUUCUACUACAGGUAGGUCCAUGUGUGAGGAAAAUGACCAAGUUCCAUAACUCUUUCUGUCAAUUUACCACUAUUAUGCCUAUGUGUGUACUUACUGUUCCGGUCCCGAAGGGUUGAAAAAUAAGGCCACCAGUGGGUCGAGCAUUUUUUUUAUAUGGCUGUUGUACAACCUUGAUAAACAUUUACAAGUAAAACUUGUACUCCGAUCUCCAUGAAACUUGACAGAAACUAUUAAUGAUAUCUUGGUAGAGUUCGAAAACGAUUCUGAUCAGCAGAAUAACAUGUCAGGCAGGAGCGGGGCUUUUUAUGCUCCCCCAAAAUUUUUUAAGGGGAGCAUAUAGUUGCCGCUUCGUCUGUCCGUCCGUGUACAAUUUUUGUCCGGGCUAUUUCUCAGCCAUUAAUGACCGUAUUUCAAUUAAACUUUAUGGGAAGCUUCACUACCAAGAUGAGAUGUGCAUAUUAUCAGCCAGUCUGGUCGGAUGAUUUUUAUGCCCCCCCUUCGAAGUAGAGGGGUUAUAUUGUUUUGCACAUGUUGGUCGUCCGUCGGUCUGUCCGUCCACCAGAUGGUUUCCGGAUGAUAACUCAAGAACGCUUAGGCCUAGGAUCAUGAAACUUCAUAGGUUCAUUGAUCAUGACUCACAGAUGACCCCUAUUGAUUUUGAGGUCACUAGGUCAAAGGUCAAGGUGACCGGAAAUAGUAAAAUAGUUUCCAGAUGAUAACUCAAGAACGUUUAUGCCUAGGAUCAUGAAACUUCAUAGGUACAUUGAUCAUGACUCGCAGAUGACCGCUAUUGAUUUUCAGGUCACUAGGUCAAAGGUCAAGGUGACCCAAAAUAGUAAAAUGGUUUCCGGAUGAUAACUCAAGAACGCUUAUGCCUAGGAUCAUGAAACUUCAUAGGUACAUUGAUCAUGACUCGCAAGUGACCCCUAUUGAUUUUCAGGUCACUAGGUCAAAGGUCAAGGUCACGGUGACCCGAAAUAGUAAAAUGGUUUCUGGAUGAUAACUCAAGAACGCUUAUGCCUAGGAUCAUGAAACUUCAUAGGUACAUUGAUCAUGACUCGCAGAUGACCCCUAUUGAUUUUUAGGUCAAAGGUCAAGGUGACUCAACUUAACAAAAUGGUUUCCGGAUGAUAACUCAAGAACGCUUACGCCUAGGAUCAUGAAACUUCAUAGGAGCAUUGAGCAGGACUCGUAGAUGACCCCUAUUGACUUUCAGGUCACUAGGUGUAUUCACACAAUGGCUGCCACUACAACUGACAGCCCAUAAGGGGGGGGGGGGCAUGCAUGUUUUACAAACAGCCCUUGUUAACAGAGUUAUGGCCCUUUGAAAUUUUCCAUUAACUGUACAUAUAGUGCAAUUCUUGUCUGGGCUAUUUCUCAGCAACUAAUGACCGGAAUUUAAUGAAACUUUAUGGGAAGCUUCACUACCAAGAGAUGUGCAUGUUAUCAGCCGGUUCUAGUCGGAUUAUUUUUCACAGAGUUAUGGCCCUUUGAAAUUUUCAAAUAAAAAUUUAUUGUCCCCCCAACUACUGUGCCCUCAAGACGUUUCCUUUUAUCUGAAUAUAUAGUGCAAUAUUGUGACCAAAAAAAACUUUGGGGAGCAUCACCCGUCUCCCGACGUUUUCUUGUUUUAAUAUGUUGAUAGUGAAACUUUGUUAACACUAAAAGUAACAUUUUUAGACUAAUCUUCAGAAAACAUAGAAAAUUUGUCUUUGAUACAGAGGCAGAGUUUAAAACUGGGCCAUGCGAGAUAGAAAUCGAUCAACUUAUCUUAAAAUGAUGGUCAACCAGAUUGCUUUAUAUCACGAAAAGAUUUUAAUAUAUCAUGAAAUUUUUUUUUUCUCUAAAAUUCAGUAUUUUUUUUACAAUUAUUAGUUUAUAUCGAUUAAAAUAUCACAACUGGUAAAUUAAAUUACUUGAAAAAUGUUAAGUUUUCAUUUUUUUAAUAAAUUAGGUAAUAAAAUUAUACUGAGUAUGUCUAACAGGUUAUUUGGAGAGUUCUGUUGCUGUCAUUAUAUUUUGUGAAACUACGAGGAUUGCUUAUAUAAAGUAUAAAAUACAACUCUCAUUGUAUGAGCAUGGAUGGCAGAGUGAUCUAAAUGGGAGAAUUGUUACUCCAGGGGUCAGUGGUUCGAGCCCUGUUGAAGGUUACAUUUUUAUGCAAAUUUUGGGGGGGGGGGGGGGAGCAUAUAGUCGCAGCUGGUGUGUGUGUGUCUGUCCCUGCACAAUUUUGUCCGGGCUAUUUCUCAGCAACUAAUGACCGGAAUUCAAUGAAACUUUAUGGGAAGCUUCACUACCAAGAGAUGUGCAUAUUAUCAGCGGGUUCUGGUCGGAUGAUUUUUCACAGUUAUGGCCCUUUGAAAUUUUCCAUUAACUGUACAUAUAGUGCAAUUCUUGUCCGGGCUAUUUCUCAGCAACUAAUGAGCAGAAUUCAAUGAAUCUUUAUGGGAAGCUUCACUACCAAGAGAUGUGCAUAUUAUCAGCCGGUUCUGGUCGGAUGAUUUUUCACAGUUAUGGCCCUUUGAAAUUUUCCAUUAACUGUACAUAUAGUGCAAUUCUUGUCCGGGCUAUUUCUCAGCAACUAAUGACCGGAAUUCAAUGAAACUUUAUGGGAAGCUUCACUACCAAAAGGUGAUGUGCAUAUUAUCAGCCAGUUCUGGUCGGAUGAUUUUUCACAGAGUUAUGGCCCUUUGAAAUUUUCUAUAAACUGUACAUAUAGUGCAAUUCUUGUCCAGGCUAUUUCUCCCCAACUACUGACUGGAAUUCAAUGAAGCUUUAUGGGAAGCUUAACUACCUUGAGGAGAUGCGCAUGUGAUUUGUGGGUUCUGGUUAGAUGAUUUAUUUAGAGAGUUAUGGCCCUUUGAAAUUUGCUAAACCAUCCAUCGUAUUAUUUUGUCCAAAGUUAUGCCCCUCAAGACGUUCCUUUUAUCUGAAUAUAUAGUGCAAUAUUGUGACAAAAAAAAAACUUUGGGAAGCAUCACCCAUCUCAGACGGUUUCUUGUUUUAUUUUGUAUUGAUUUUUUUACUGGAGUUUUUAGAUCCAAUGUUUAAAUUUAUCAAUAUAAAGCAUUUAAUGACGGUACUUUAGAACUGUUCUUUUUUGCGCGAUAUAUAGCAAUCUGGUUGACCGUCCCUUUAAAGCAAAGACUAGUUAAAAAUUAAGAAGCCACAUCUUCAGGUCAGAACAUUUGUUCUUAUAUCUUGGCAGUUUGAUAAUGGUAUCAGUUUCAUUAAAAACAUUGCCACCAGGGGGUGCUGCAGUUUUAAUGAUAUGGCUAUAGUGAAAGCAAUUUUUACUACAUAAGUUUUAUCGGGUCUGAGGUAAGGGCAAGAACCCACCAUAGGCCUCUUGUAUUUAUACAUUUUAAGAUUAUGUAAACAUGAUAUAAUUAUCUACUACAGAUUGCAUCCUCAAAUAUGUCUUUUUGGUUAUCAUAUUGGAUGUUCGACAGAGCAUGGGAAGUAUCUUAUCCAAGUGUGAAAUAUUAUACAUCAGGGUGCCGUCUUUGGACAGCUCUUCUUAUGCUUCCAGAAAAGCAAAGCAUUAAGUUGCCACUAUGUUCAUCCAACCAAAUUUUAAUAUUAGAGUAAUUAAGUUUGCGUGGGUCUAACACAAAUUUCCUCAAAUUAUAAUUUCUGCCCUACUGGGAGUCUCUUACUGUCCAUCACACUUGCCUAUCUGGGAAAAGAUCUCAGACAGUAUAUAAUGAUGUUCCCAAUUUGAUGAAACUUGAUUUGAAGCACGACUAUAGUUGAACAUGCACAUCAUUGUCAGUUUGUUUCGGCCCAAUGAUUAUUAGAGAGUUAUUUCCCUUUGAUUGUAAAUGCAUCACUUUAUAUUAGCACGAGGUCUAAAAUACUAGUCUUUUUUUAAUGAAGCUCGAUUAUGAAACAUUCAUAGGGUGGACAUGCAAAUCAUUCUUUCAGUUUUUGCUGUCAGAUGAUGACAGGGAGUUUUUACAAUUUCAAUAUAAAUGUCAUUUGUAUUCUCCUGCGGAUUUGAGUCCUGAAUCUUUAGUUUUGAACUGCUGUGUACUGGGUUUAUCUUUCUUAAAUGGUUACAGUUGAGAAAGGUUAAUGCAUAGACGAUAUUUAAAACAAGGGUCGUUUGUAAAACAUGCAUGCCCCCCAUAUGGGCUGUCAGUUGUAGUGGAAGCCAUUGUGUGAAUACGUUUUUUUGUCACUGUGACCUUGACCUUUGACCUAGUGACCUGAAAAUCAAUAGGGGUGAUCUGGCAGUCAUGAUAAAUUGAUGCAAUUUAGCUGGAUGGGAGAGUCUACUAGGCAUAAAUGGGUUAAAGUGUAAAGAAAGAAAAAUACAAUGAUGUUUGAUCUUUGACCUAGAAGGAUGACAUUGACCUUGACUUUUCACCUCUCAAAAUGUGCAGCUCGGUGAGAUACACAUGCAUGCCAAAUAUGAAGUUGCUAUCUUCAAUAUUUCAAAAGUUAUCAAAUUUUAACCAAGGACCUUUAACUAAGGUUAAAGUUUUUGGACACACACAUACAAUGAAUUAAUGAGUCACUGUGGCCUUAACCUUUGACCUAGUGACCUGAAAAUCAAUAGGGUUCAUCUGCCAGUCAUGAUCAAUGUUCCUAUGAAGUUUCAUGAUCCUAGGGGUAAGCAUGCUUGAGUUAUCAUCCGGAUACCAUUUUACUGUUUCGAGUCACUGUGACCUUGACCUUUGGCCUAGUUACCUGAAAAUCAAUAGGGGUCAUCUGCCAGUCAUGAUCAAUCUACCUAUGAAGUUUCAUGAUUCUAGGCGUAAGCAUUCUUGAGUUAUCAUCCGGAAACCAUUUUACUAUUUCGAGUCACUGUGACCUUGACCUUUGACCUAGUGACCUGAAAAUCAAUAGGGGUCAUCUGCCAGUCAUGAUCAAUGUACCUAUGAAGUUUCAUGAUCCUAGAUCUAAACAUUUUUGAGUUAUCAUCCGGAAACCAUUUUACUAUUUCGAGUCACUAUGACUUGACCUUUGACCUAGUGACCUGAAAAUCAAUAGGGGUCAUCUGCCAGUCAUGAUCAAUGUACCUAUGAAGUUUCAUGAUUCUAGGCGUAAGCAAUCUUGAGUUAUCAUCCGUAAACCAUUUUACUAUUUCGAGUCACUGUGACCUUGACCUAGUGACCUGAAACUCAAUAGGGGUCAUUUGCCAGUCAUGAUCAAUGUUCCUAUGAAGUUUCAUGAUCCUAGGUCUUAAAAUUCUUGAGUUAUCAUCUGGAAACCAUUUUACUAUUUCGAGUAACUAUGACCUUGACCUUUGAUCUAGUGACCUGAAAAUCAAUAGGGGUCAUCUGUCAGUCAUGAUCAAUGUACCUAUGAAGUUUCAUGAUUCUAGGCCUAAGCGUUCUUGAGUUAUCAUCCGGAAACCAUAUGGUGGACGGAUGGACAUGUGCACAAUAUAUCCCCUCUUCUUCGAAGGGGGGCAUAAAAAGGAUCUUGGACUGUGAUAAUUUUUUUAUAAAUAAUUGCCAUUUCACCAAGAUCUUAUAUAUAUUUUGAUGAAGCUUUUUUUUUAGCUCCUCUUUGAUAACUUGGUGCAUAACUCGAGCUUUCACAGUUGCAUGACCUUAAUGUGUAGAUGAUUGUAAAGAAAAGAAUUUUGACUGAAAGGUUAAGAAUUUUGGCGAUGUUUUUUUUCAAUAUUGAAUACCAAAUUUUAGUGUUGCCAAAAUCUCUUCAACUACUGAGUGUAUCUUGUUCAAGCAUUCCCAUGAGAAUGGCCUUAACAUGUAGAUGUGAAUAUUUAAAUUAAUAAGGGAAGCUUGGCUGCAACAACUAUUGGCCCUUACCUUGUUUUCCUCUAUACAAUAUAGUUACAAAAGUGUGUGUGUGUUCAACUGACUAACUGCUUGGCAGAAAUUGCUCAACCUUUCACAGCUGCAUGUGUAAAUGAAUUUUUGGAAGGAAUUUUAUCUGCAAUAACGUUUGGCCUUUUUCUUGUGUAUAACAUUCCUAUGUCAGAUCACUGGAACUAAUGGUUAUAAUUUGUUUUAACUUCAUAUGCAGUUCAACAUAUGCAUAUUGUCAUGCUGUUUUGCUUAGUUGAAUUUUCAGUUAUAAUUUGUUUCCACAAAAUUCACCCGUACACAGCAACAAGAAGUUGAUUUAUUCACAAGAUGUGUUUACAUCUCCACUGUGAUAGUUAAAAGGUUACACAUUAGUGAUCUUACCAAAUGGCAAUUUUCCUGUCAUGAUUAUGGUACUGAACAUUCCUCAACAACAACCGAUUUCAAUUAACAAAGUAUGUGCAUGAUUGAGUUACUUCUAUGUUUCCCUCAUUUCUAUCUUCCAUUUCUAGGACUAUAAGAAGUAAACCAAGAGUUUGUUAGAAGAGGAUCCAGGACAUAAAAACAUACAGAAAAUAUUAAGCAAAAACACAUUCUACAGCCAAAUAUUGUGA